UUUUACAUUAAUAAUACCCUGAAGCAAUGGCAUAGUGUUUGUUAGAUUUCUCGUCUCCCCUCAAAGCCUAAAGCCAAACACACCUUCUGCAGACUAUUUUGGUAAUCAUGAGAAGGAUCGGUUCCCAUACAGCUUUUCCAUGUCACCCACUUCUGAACAUUUCAGAUUGAACAGAAAUUCCAGGGGUCAGUAUCAUUUAAGGAUGUGACCGUGGGCUUCACCCAGGAGGAGUGGCAGUGCUUGGACUCAAGUCAGAGGUCCCUGUACAGGGACGUGAUGCUGGAGAACUACAGCCACCUUGUCUCAGUGGGUAAGGACUGUUUUUAUAUAAUUCCAAGUAGCAUGUUUUGAUUGUGUUAAUUAUGAGGCGUAUAGGCUCUGUGCCGCGUUGAAUGAUAUUUAAGAUCGGAAUUCAGGAGUCAUUGCCGAUUGACCACUUUUGGGCGCCAGGAAGGUAGUUGUGUUUACCUCUCCAGUGAAGUGUUCCGUGGCUUCUUCACUGAGCAGCUGCAGCGGCUUCCUCCUCUUCCAGAGGCCCUGAAGUCUAGGCCACCUGGUCUGAAUCCUGAAUGAUUUCACGUUGACAGGGUCCUGUGCUACCAAACCAGAGGUGAUCUUCAGGCUGGAGCAAGGAGAGGAGCCAUGGAUAUCGGAGGAAGAAUUCCCAAGCCAGAGCCUCCCAGGUGAGUUG
RNAcentral lists this long non-coding RNA (691 nucleotides) under Lynx pardinus (Iberian lynx). The record is from RNAcentral. Lineage: Eukaryota; Metazoa; Chordata; Mammalia; Carnivora; Felidae.